UCGUGAGUGUGAAGACAGGAGAGAGGGCAUGCACACGCCCUGACUCACCGCAGCCUGAGCCAGCCCUGGACCGUGGGCACACAUGUGCCUGGCUUACUCAGGGAGGGCUCGGGAUAUGAACCCGGAAACUUCCCAUGUGAGUCCCUCGCAGAGCACUGCCUUUCACCGCGCACCACCGCCAGGCCCCGGAAUGCCCACGUUUUCUCAGAGAUCGAUGGAACUCACAAUGUUUUGAGAAGAGCCUGCUGGUUCCUGUGUUGGGUUGCUGCCACGCAGCGCGAUUCCGAGGCUGAUGGAAACAGUGGGGAGGAGACCUCGAACACGCAGGCUUUGGCGGCAGGAAGCGCGUCUUUUCCACCUGCUCCUUCCGUGACGGCAGCCCGCUGCUCCGGCUGACCCUGCGCUGUCUCACCUGCGUUUGCAGGUGCCUUGGCCCCAGCGUCUGGGUAUCCGUGCACUGCAGGGCAGGGCACCAUGUUGGAAGCGCCGUUGUCACAGGCCUUUAGAUGGUACUGAGUCCGCAGUCAAUUUUUUAAGCUUUAAGACAGUUAAAACCUGCUUCCUACUUGAAAGUUGCCGGUGCUUCUCGUUUAAAGUCCAGGUAGCGGCUUGUAAAGUACUACCUGUGUGUGACAGUGCGUGCCAAGCAGUGAAGUCGAUUCCAGGAAGCAAAAAUCCUUUUGGCAACACUGGCUGCGGUGGGACUCCCGGAAGUGCUGGCCCUCCUGCCAUGAACAGCUAUAAAGAUGGGUCGACCAGAGAUGCCAGAGACCGCCGGGCGUGAAGAGCUGAGACAUAGGGUCCCACCUACAGGAGGCCCAAUCCCAGGACAGAUUCCAGCCCUGCACUGUUCGCAUGAGCCCCGGGCAGAGUGACCCUGCUCACCGGAAGGGCUGCUCCAGGUCCCAGCAUGAAGGCAAAUACAGACCCCAGGAGAACGUCACACCCAGCAGAACCACCGCCUGCCAGCGCGGUGCACGAGCGUCCCCGACCUCCCACGUGGCUGUCUGGCCUGCUACCCGAGGCAGCGCCCUGUUGCCGUGUUUUCACGCUCAUGCAGGAGCACGUGUGCAGGGUCCCGAGCAAAACGUGUGUGGUUCGGCCCAGUACCGCCACCUUCCCCGCUGUGACGGCGCUGGCUCCGCGGGACAGUUCGUCACCGUGUCCGGUCUCUGUCACCCUGGCAUGCGAGAGCACUCCUCUCAGGUCAGGGCUCUCUGUCCUGUUUGCAUAAGGUCGAUCCCUUCCCUACGCCGGGACUCCGCCUGGCUCGUGAAAGAGUCCCCCUGACACACUUAAAGGAAAGAAAAAGAAUAGGGAAACAACUGGUCCCAAGCCGGGAGUAAUAUCCACCCACGGGGCAUAAAAUAUUAGGACAGUCUUAA
Molecule: long non-coding RNA, 1385 nt
Organism: Tupaia belangeri chinensis (Chinese tree shrew)
Lineage: Eukaryota; Metazoa; Chordata; Mammalia; Scandentia; Tupaiidae
Exons: 3
Source: RefSeq, a predicted model, not a curated record